UAACUACGGCAGUGGUCAAGGCAGACACAGUGGUAACUUUGGCCCCGGCGGCCAAGGCGGCUUUGGUCCAGGGCAAGGGGCCAACAAGGAUUUGGACCUAGCCAUCAACAAGGAUUUGGUCCUGGAGGUCAAGGGGGUUUCGGCCCUGACAACCAGGGCGGGUUUGGACACGGCGGUCAGGGAGCUUUUGGCGGUCAAGGUGGUCACGGACACGGUGGUCCGGGGAACUUAGGUGGACACCGCGGCGGUUACCAGGAGUACGGAUAUUAAAUUAUUAUUA
Molecule: RNA transcript, 280 nt
Organism: Papilio machaon (common yellow swallowtail)
Lineage: Eukaryota; Metazoa; Arthropoda; Insecta; Lepidoptera; Papilionidae
Exons: 2
Source: RefSeq, a predicted model, not a curated record